UAGCUGCCCGAACCCGCGCUGC
RNAcentral lists this non-coding RNA (22 nucleotides) under Arabidopsis thaliana (thale cress). Lineage: Eukaryota; Viridiplantae; Streptophyta; Magnoliopsida; Brassicales; Brassicaceae. The record is from RNAcentral.